GCCUACGGGACGCAGCAGUGAGGAAUAUUGGUCAAUGGGCGCGAGCCUGAACCAGCCAAGUCGCGUGAGGGGAGACGGUCCUAUAGAUUGUAAACCUCUUUUGUCGGGGAGCAAAAGACGCCACGUGUGGCGUUCCGAGAGUACCCGAAGAAAAAGCAUCGGCUAACUCCGUGCCAGCAGUCGCGGUAAUACGGAGGAUGCGAGCGUUAUCCGGAUUUAUUGGGUUUAAAGGGUGCGCAGGCGGAAGAUCAAGUCAGCGGUAAAAUUGAGAGGCUCAACCUCUUCGAGCCGUUGAAACUGGUUUU
This 305-nucleotide ribosomal RNA is filed under the name uncultured bacterium. RNAcentral describes it as "bacterial SSU rRNA". It matches the Rfam family "Bacterial small subunit ribosomal RNA", at positions 337 to 640 of the family's 1533-position model. The record is from RNAcentral.